CAAAACUGAAGUUUGUUAUGCAAAGCUUAACCCCAUUGGAAACCUGUGACCAAAUCCCAUUCCGCACUUUGUUGAAAGAGAGCCAGACUCCGAUCCGGUUACACUUCAUAAAUUUAAAGAAUUAUGAGCCGUGACCCAGACGGAAGCGGAAUGCAAUUCAGCGAAGUGGCCAGGACGCAGUGAGUCCGAAGGAAGGAGGUCAACAGGUAAUAACGGUUGCACGAUUGGCUGGCCCUGACAAUUUCCGCUAGAUUUACAACCCUAGUGGAAAGGGGUGAUAUCGGAUUGCAAGCAUACUCUUUACGUUAUAUCCCCAUUUUGUGGUCGGUCUACUAACAAUCGAUGCUAGUUGAGCAUUGAUUUUCGCUGAUUUCGAAGGAAAGUUCAAGAGUCGCUGGCUGAAGUUCAAAGGCUUGGCUUUAAUUGAGUUGCCACUGGGUUCAUGCAUAUGCAGGGCGCAAUUAAAAGUGCGCCAAGAAAAAGCGAGAAAGACAAACACUGGCGGAGGAAAACUCCUUGGAGGGGAGGAAAAUGUCUGCGAGUGACUCAAGUCGAGUCUCCUGUCUGUUGACAUUUCGCGGUAUGGAAAAAAUUAAAUUAAAAUGCAAAUUAGGCAUUCCUGCCGAGGAGUCUGGCCUGCAGUCUGCGAUCCCCUUUUGCGGUCCUUGCUUUUCCUCCUGGCGUCCUGGCGUCUUUGGCAAAAGUGACAAAUUGUUGUAAACACUGCAAGUUACGUAUACGCCUCGUGGGACCUCGUGGGAUAGUCACCUACGAAAAGCGGGUUCAAAGGGGCGAGUAGAGGGAGCUCCACCUAUUGUAUACAUAUUUUAACACAAGCCAAGAAGUGCCGACUUAGGGCCAAGAUGAAUGUUUUUAUUUCUGCGCCUUUCGCCGUUCGUCCUUCUUUUCUGCGGUAAAUUAUGCAAAGUAGUUGCGUAAUGCUCUUGUUACAAUAAUUUAAUCUUGUAAUCUGUUUCUGUUCGACUAACGGCAAGUGCCAUAAAUAAUUCAGCUGGCCCGCUGCUGCAGAUGCCGGAGGGAAAU
Drosophila melanogaster (fruit fly) is the source of this 1044-nucleotide non-coding RNA. The record is from Ensembl. Lineage: Eukaryota; Metazoa; Arthropoda; Insecta; Diptera; Drosophilidae.